AGAGUUUGAUCAUGCCUCUGAUUGAACGCUGGCGGCAGGCCUAACACAUGCAAGUCCAGCGGUAGAGAGAAGCUUGCUUCUCUUGAGAGCGGCGGACGGGUGAGUAAUGCCUAGGAAUCUGCCUGGUAGUGGGGGAUAACGUUCGGAAACGGACGCUAAUACCGCAUACGUCCUACGGGAGAAAGCAGGGGACCUUCGGGCCUUGCGCUAUCAGAUGAGCCUAGGUCGGAUUAGCUAGUUGGUGGGGUAAUGGCUCACCAAGGCGACGAUCCGUAACUGGUCUGAGAGGAUGAUCAGUCACACUGGAACUGAGACACGGUCCAGACUCCUACGGGAGGCAGCAGUGGGGAAUAUUGGACAAUGGGCGAAAGCCUGAUCCAGCCAUGCCGCGUGUGUGAAGAAGGUCUUCGGAUUGUAAAGCACUUUAAGUUGGGAGGAAGGGCAUUAACCUAAUACGUUAGUGUUUUGACGUUACCGACAGAAUAAGCACCGGCUAACUCUGUGCCAGCAGCCGCGGUAAUACAGAGGGUGCAAGCGUUAAUCGGAAUUACUGGGCGUAAAGCGCGCGUAGGUGGUUCGUUAAGUUGGAUGUGAAAUCCCCGGGCUCAACCUGGGAAACUGCAUUCAAAACUGUCGAGCUAGAGUAUGGUA
This 651-nucleotide ribosomal RNA is filed under the name uncultured bacterium. RNAcentral's name for it is "bacterial SSU rRNA". It matches the Rfam family "Bacterial small subunit ribosomal RNA", at positions 8 to 653 of the family's 1533-position model. The record is from RNAcentral.